Amborella trichopoda is the source of this 550-nucleotide long non-coding RNA. RefSeq lists it as uncharacterized. The record is from RefSeq and is a predicted model, not a curated record. Lineage: Eukaryota; Viridiplantae; Streptophyta; Magnoliopsida; Amborellales; Amborellaceae.
GGAGCGCGAGGAGUUCUUCAGUAAAGAUGGGAUUUUCUUGGUUGUUAUGGGUACCUUCCAGGAGAGUUCUUUUGUACUGCGCUGUGAAAAUAUUAGCAUCAUAGAAAGAGUAAAAUUGCUUCAACAGAGAUUCCCUGAGGUUUGAAUUUGGAAGUUCAAUUUGUUCUAUCGACGAUAAAGCUCGGAUAAGUAGCAUUCUCUUGAAGGAAUAUAUCACAUUUCCUGUGUUGCUGUCAACUAAAGAUUUUAUUAAGUGAUUGAUGAACUUCAGACAUCAUCUAUUGGGGAAUCCACAGACGUAAACUCCAAAGGCAUAGGAGGAAAGCUUGCUGAGUUCAUCAAGGAACCUUAUGUUUGUCAUCCUCUUAAAACCUUACUUCUCAACUCUGCAGGUAAGAUGUUUACCCUUUUAUUUGGACGAACGUGUGGAUCCUAGUACACGGGGAAGAGUGCCUGAUUAUAUUGUUACAUAUUGUUACUUUUUGCAUUAUAAUUACUCAUGGCCAUUAGAUGACAAAUUGGAUGGUUGAGGUGAGUCAUGAAGUUCAAG